UACAGAGGUCCCAAGCGUUGUUCGGAUUCACUGGGCGUAAAGGGUGCGUAGGUGGUUGGGAAAGUUUGAUGUGAAAGCUCGGAGCUUAACUCCGAAAUGGCAUUGAAUACUUCUUAACUUGAGGGUCGGAGGGGAGACUGGAAUUCUCGGUGUAGCAGUGAAAUGCGUAGAUAUCGAGAGGAACACCAGUGGCGAAGGCGAGUCUCUGGACGACUCCUGACACUGAGGCACGAAAAGCUAGGGGAGCAAACAGG
This 254-nucleotide ribosomal RNA is filed under the name uncultured bacterium. RNAcentral's name for it is "partial 16S ribosomal RNA". It matches the Rfam family "Bacterial small subunit ribosomal RNA", at positions 524 to 776 of the family's 1533-position model. The record is from RNAcentral.